This 77-nucleotide transfer RNA is filed under the name Bacillota bacterium. RNAcentral describes it as "tRNA-Pro". It matches the Rfam family "tRNA". From Rfam's summary of the family: Transfer RNA (tRNA) molecules are approximately 80 nucleotides in length. Their secondary structure includes four short double-helical elements and three loops (D, anti-codon, and T loops). Further hydrogen bonds mediate the characteristic L-shaped molecular structure. tRNAs have two regions of fundamental functional importance: the anti-codon, which is responsible for specific mRNA codon recognition, and the 3' end, to which the tRNAs corresponding amino acid is attached (by aminoacyl-tRNA synthetases). tRNAs cope with the degeneracy of the genetic code in two manners: having more than one tRNA (with a specific anti-codon) for a particular amino acid; and 'wobble' base-pairing, i.e. permitting non-standard base-pairing at the 3rd anti-codon position. The record is from RNAcentral. Lineage: Bacteria; Bacillati; Bacillota.
CGGGGCGUAGCGCAGCUUGGUAGCGCACUUGGUUUGGGACCAAGGGGUCGCAGGUUCAAAUCCUGUCGCCCCGACCA